This 301-nucleotide ribosomal RNA is filed under the name uncultured bacterium. RNAcentral describes it as "partial 16S ribosomal RNA". It matches the Rfam family "Bacterial small subunit ribosomal RNA", at positions 509 to 807 of the family's 1533-position model. The record is from RNAcentral.
CAGUCGCCACGGUAAUACGUAGGGCGCAAGCGUUAUCCGGAAUUAUUGGGCGUAAAGAGCCCGUAGGCGGUUUGUCGCGUCUGCCGUGAAAGUCCGGGGCUCAACCCCGGAUCUGCGGUGGGUACGGGCAGACUAGAGUGAUGUAGGGGAGACUGGAAUUCCUGGUGUAGCGGUGAAAUGCGCAGAUAUCAGGAGGAACACCGAUGGCGAAGGCAGGUCUCUGGGCAUUAACUGACGCUGAGGAGCGAAAGCAUGGGGAGCGAACAGGAUUAGAUACCCGCGUAGUCCCUGUCUCUUAUAC